GUGCAAGCAGAAACACCUAAUAAGAGUAAAGGCAAAGAGUUCCUGAAUAUAUCACAUGUGGUGAUAAACAUGAAGAUGUAUGAAAAAUUGUGUUCGUUGAGAGAAAAUGGAAGGCUUUUCAUUCUACUUCCACAUUUUCAUUCCAGCAGCUUUUCUGUUUUGGAAGAUGAGUACUGAAUCUUGCAAUGAAAUUUUUUUAACUUAAACAAGGUUCUUAUGCCUUUGUUUGAAAAACAUGGUUCCCUGUGAAAUUUUACAUGUAGAAGAAAGCUUCACACUACGAGAGCUCUCAGGAUAUAAUUAUUUCAGACAGAUACUGGGAACAUAAGAUGGCUUAUCAAUCUAAGAUGGCCUUCCUGUCCUUCGGAUUGAACUGAAACCAUCCCUGAUUCCAGGGAUAGGUAGAUGAUCCAGGUUUGGACAAUCAAAAUAUUGAACCACCCUGGACCUACAAGUGUUUCUGGGAUGGGAACAUGCAAACGUUGGUCCAAAUUGUUGUUCUAGGCAGCCCAGUACAUUUCUCCAAUGCCUGAUGGAAUGAUAGGGUAUGCAUAAAUGUUCAUGUGGGCUCUGGAGUAUACCAGGAACUGAAGUAAGGUACAUGGACGUCUUGAAUAUUGUAACUGAGAUGGGCAAGCCUACACCUUUGCAAAUAAAGGAGGAUUGGGAAAGAUUAAGAUCCUGUUAAACGUCAGUGUUACUAUUUAGCCUUUGAUAUCUCCAGUAAAGGCAACUUCUUUCUGGACCCAGAAAUAAAGCUUUACAUUAGCAGCUUCCAUAACACCAAUAACAUGAAUGACCAUCUACUGAGCAAUUGCAGUGCACCAGGAUUAUGGCUUAUGAGCACUUUAUGUUUAUUAUCUCACAACUCACUGAGUUAGAUACUCUCCACAACCCAGUGAGCCUCUCAAGCACUGUGAAAAAUCACUUUCUCUUGUUGUAUUCUUGGAGCCCCUGCUAAUUCAUUAUUGAAAAAUACCUGCUGCCUGCAUUUGGCCUUAUGUUGUCAUUUACUUGGGUCUGUGCAUGGCGUUUAGAAGGCUACACCUUAGGCUGGGGGUCAAGAAUGUCUUCCCUGAUGUGAGGUUUACACAGAGAUCUGAAGAAUGAAGAGUCCAGCUAAGUACUUCCUAAGCGUGGCUACUCCAAUGAAGCUUUAGUAUAUGUACUGAAAGAAGAUCCUCUCAUACUGCCACAGCCAAGAGAUAAGGUUGUAAAUCUUUAUUGGGAGAAGCCGUCAAGGACAGUUCUGUGAAAUGAAAGGAUCUCUGGAUCACCACAAAGUCUGGCUCAGUGACUAUGGCUUUGCAAACACUAAACAUUCCUGUCUCAAGUCCUGUAGAUGGCUUGAAAUAGUAUACAUAAGCAUGCCUUAUAAACAUCUUCAGUCUUUAUC
This 1396-nucleotide long non-coding RNA is filed under the name Homo sapiens (human). RNAcentral's name for it is "DPH5 divergent transcript". Lineage: Eukaryota; Metazoa; Chordata; Mammalia; Primates; Hominidae. The record is from RNAcentral.